Canis lupus familiaris (dog) is the source of this 214-nucleotide long non-coding RNA. RefSeq lists it as uncharacterized. NCBI's taxonomy places the organism in Eukaryota, Metazoa, Chordata, Mammalia, Carnivora, Canidae. The transcript has 2 exons. The record is from RefSeq and is a predicted model, not a curated record.
AACCGGCUGGGCCACCCAGAUACCCCUCUAACCACAGUUUUAAAAAGCAGAAACAGAACCCAUCUGAAUUCAGACCAGCCAGAGUUCAAGGGCCCAGGGACCACCUGCGCUGGAAGGUGGCUUCGGGACCGACCAGCAGGGCUGCCCGCGGGGCCCACGGACCCCGGGGUUCAUCAGUGAAGUCUGGGAAGUCCACCGAGUUCCCUGAAACCGA